RNAcentral lists this ribosomal RNA (520 nucleotides) under Coryphagrion grandis. Its description in RNAcentral is "SSU rRNA". It matches the Rfam family "Eukaryotic small subunit ribosomal RNA", at positions 631 to 1126 of the family's 1831-position model. RNAcentral also lists the same sequence under 4 other names. Lineage: Eukaryota; Metazoa; Arthropoda; Insecta; Odonata; Coenagrionidae. The record is from RNAcentral.
UAGUCGGAGGUGUGUCUCGGACGGUCGGUUCGCCGCUUGUCGGUGCUCAACUGGCCGGUCCGGACGUCCUGCCGGUGGGGCCGCGAGGCUCCGUCAUCCUUCUUUGGUCCUCUUCACCGAGUGCCUUGGUGGGCCGGCACGUUUACUUUGAACAAAUUAGAGUGCUCAAAGCAGGCCGUUGGUCGCCUGAAUACUGUGUGCAUGGAAUAAUGGAAUAGGACCUCGGUUCCAUUUUGUUGGUUUUCAGAACUCGAGGUAAUGAUUAAUAGGGACGGACGGGGGCAUUCGUAUUGCGACGUUAGAGGUGAAAUUCUUGGAUCGUCGCAAGACGAACCGAUGCGAAAGCAUUUGCCAAGAACGUUUUCGUUGAUCAAGAACGAAAGUUAGAGGUUCGAAGGCGAUCAGAUACCGCCCUAGUUCUAACCAUAAACGAUGCCAGCUAGCCAUCCGCCGAAGUUCCUUCUAUGACUCGGCGGGCAGCUUCCGGGAAACCAAAGCUCUUGGGUUCCGGGGGAAGUAU